Molecule: ribosomal RNA, 446 nt
Filed under: uncultured bacterium
Lineage: Bacteria
Description: partial 16S ribosomal RNA
Rfam family: Bacterial small subunit ribosomal RNA
Source: RNAcentral
CCUACGGGUGGCAGCAGUCGAGAAUCAUUCACAAUGGGGGAAACCCUGAUGGUGCGACGCCGCGUGGGGGAAUGAAGGUCUUCGGAUUGUAAACCCCUGUCAUGUGGGAGCAAAUUAAAAAGAUAGUACCACAAGAGGAAGAGACGGCUAACUAUGUGCCAGCAGCCGCGGUAAUACAGAGGUCUCAAGCGUUGUUCGGAAUCACUGGGCGUAAAGGGUGCGUAGGCUGUUUCGUAAGUCGUGUGUGAAAGGCGCGGGCUCAACCCGCGGACGGCACAUGAUACUGCGCGGCUAGAGUAAUGGAGGGGGAACCGGAAUGCUCGGUGUAGCAGUGAAAUGCGUAGAGAUCGAGAAGAACACUGGUGGCGAAGGCAGGUUCCUGGACAUUAACUGACGCUGAGGCACGAAGGCCAGGGGAGCGAAAGGGAUUAGAUACCCCUGUAGUC